This 468-nucleotide ribosomal RNA is filed under the name uncultured bacterium. RNAcentral's name for it is "bacterial SSU rRNA". It matches the Rfam family "Bacterial small subunit ribosomal RNA", at positions 28 to 521 of the family's 1533-position model. The record is from RNAcentral.
GAUGAACGCUGGCGGCGUGCCUAACACAUGCAAGUCGUACGAGCUCGAUCUUCGGAACGGGUUAGUGGCGCACGGUGAGUAACACGUAGGUGACCUACCCCAGAGUGGGGGAUAACUUCUCGAAAGAGAGGCUAAUACCGCAUACACUCGGUCAUUCAUUUGGCCGAGCAAAGCUCCGGCGCUUUGGGACGGGCCUGCGUCCGAUUAGCUAGUUGGUAGGGUAAUGGCUUACCAAGGCUUUGAUCGGUAGCUGGUCUGAGAGGACGAUCAGCCACACUGGCACUGACACACGGGCCAGACUCCUACGGGAGGCAGCAGUGAGGAAUAUUGGGCAAUGGGCGAAAGCCUGACCCAGCAACGCCGCGUGAGGGAUGAAGGCCUUCGGGUUGUAAACCUCUUUCUGGGAGAAGAGACAAGGACGGUAUCCCAGGAAUAAGUCUCGGCUAACUACGUGCCAGCAGCCGCGGU